UACAGAGGGCGCGAGCGUUAAUCGGAAUUACUGGGCGUAAAGCGCGCGUAGGCGGCUUUGCAAGUCGAGUGUGAAAUCCCCAGGCUUAACCUGGGAACUGCAUUCGAGACUGCAUAGCUAGAGUAUGGGAGAGGGAAGUGGAAUUUCAGGUGUAGCGGUGAAAUGCGUAGAUAUCUGAAGGAACAUCAGUGGCGAAAGCGACUUCCUGGACCAAUACUGACGCUCAUGUGCGAAAGCGUGGGGAGCAAACAGG
This 253-nucleotide ribosomal RNA is filed under the name uncultured bacterium. RNAcentral describes it as "partial 16S ribosomal RNA". It matches the Rfam family "Bacterial small subunit ribosomal RNA", at positions 524 to 776 of the family's 1533-position model. The record is from RNAcentral.